This 247-nucleotide long non-coding RNA is filed under the name Phoenix dactylifera (date palm). Its description in RNAcentral is "long non-coding RNA (PDAC_LNC001358)". The record is from RNAcentral. Lineage: Eukaryota; Viridiplantae; Streptophyta; Magnoliopsida; Arecales; Arecaceae.
AAUACAAAGUACCUGGAACAUAAAGUUUUACAAAUUCUAUAUCUUGUGCGUUGAUUUUAUUUUAAAUUGAUUUUCCAAAAUUCUCUUAAAGUUUUGAUCAACAUUGAUAAAUAUAUUUUGGGCUAACAACAUCAAAAUCAAAGCAUGAUAGCAGUUGAAUAUAUUUGUGGAUGGGUAUUCUAAACUUUAAAGUUGAAGGAAAAUGAUGUUUCAAUAAAAUUCCAACACCUCCACAAUUUCUUUCUUC